GGGGGGGGGGGGGGGGGGGCGGGGGGGGUGGGGGGCGGGGGGGGGGGCCCGGGGGGGGGGGGGGGGUCGGGGGGCGGGCGGGGGAGUGACGCGUGGGUAACCUGCCCUUGACUUUGGGAUAACUUCAGGAAACUGGGGCUACUACCGGCUAGGAGCUCCUUCUGCAUGGUGGGGGGUGGAAACUUUCGGCGGUUGGGGAUGGACUCGCGGCUUCUCAGCUUGUUGGUGGGGUAGUGGCUUACCAAGGCUUUGACGGGUAGCCGGCCUGAGAGGGUGACCGGCCACAUUGGGACUGAGAUACGGCCCAGACUCCUACGGGAGGCAGCAGUGGGGAAUAUUGCACAAUGGGCGGAAGCCUGAUGCAGCAACGCCGCGUGCGGGAUGACGGCCUUCGGGUUGUAAACCGCUUUCGCCUGUGACGAAGCGUGAGUGACGGUAAUGGGUAAAGAAGCACCGGCUAACUACGUG
Molecule: ribosomal RNA, 468 nt
Filed under: uncultured bacterium
Lineage: Bacteria
Description: partial 16S ribosomal RNA
Rfam family: Bacterial small subunit ribosomal RNA (bases 59-468)
Source: RNAcentral